GAUGAAUGCUGGCGGCGUGCCUAACACAUGCAAGUCGAGCGGCAGCGCGGUCUUCGGACUGGCGGCGAGCGGCGGACGGCUGAGUAACGCGUGGGAACAUACCCCAAAGUGAGGGAUAACCGCCCGAAAGGGUGGCUAAUACCGCAUAUGAUCUUCGGAUUAAAGGAUUUAUCCGCUUUGGGAAUGGCCUGCGUACGAUUAGAUAGUUGGUGAGGUAAAGGCUUACCAAGUCUACGAUCGUUAACUGGUCUGAGAGGAUGAUCAGUCAGACUGGAACUGAGACACGGUCCAGACUCCUACGGGAGGCAGCAGUGAGGAAUCUUCCACAAUGGGCGAAAGCCUGAUGGAGCAACGCCGCGUGCAGGAUGAAGACCUUCGGGUCGUAAACUGCUUUUAUAAGUGAAGAAUAUGACGGUAACUUAUGAAUAAGCACCGGCUAACUACGUGCCAGCAGCCGCUGUAA
This 463-nucleotide ribosomal RNA is filed under the name uncultured bacterium. Its description in RNAcentral is "partial 16S ribosomal RNA". It matches the Rfam family "Bacterial small subunit ribosomal RNA", at positions 28 to 523 of the family's 1533-position model. The record is from RNAcentral.